GGAUAAGAACGAAUGGAGAAUUAGAGAAGUGGAAAGAGGAUAAGAACGAAUGGAGAAUUAGAGAAGUGGAAAGAGGAUAAGAACGAAUGGAGAAUUAGAAAAGUGGAAAGAGGAUAAGAACGAAUGGAGAAUUAGAGAAGUGGAAAGAGGAUAAGAACGAAUGGAGAAUUAGAGAAGUGGAAAGAGGAUAAGAACGAAUGGAGAAUUAGAGAAGUGGAAAAAGAAUCAGAAGGAGACGGGAAAGAAGUGACUGGAAAGGAAGGAGGGUGGAAAUAAGGAAGCGGGAAUGAAGGAAAAAAUAUAUGGGAAAAAGACGGAAGACGGGGAAAUUAGAGGAAGUAAAAGGGAAACAAUUAUCCAGGCAUUGAACCCCCUGACACUGUCCUCCGGAAGUGUUGGCUGACCGCAGACACACACACACACACACACACACACACACACACACAUGGACGCGGACACGGUAGCAACAAUAUAACCUCUGUAAUGAAUCCUGUAUCCUUGCUUCGUGUGUGUGUGUGUGUGUGUGUGUGUGUUUAGGCAAAGUGUAGUAAGUAGGAAAGCGAUAAAGGGAGGGAAGGAAAUGGUUGAAUGGUAAGGUUAAGUAAAAGGAAUGAAGGAAGGAAAGGAAAGAGAGGAAAGAAGGAAGGGAGGAAAGGAAAGAGAGGAAGGAAGGAAGGGAGGAAAAGGAAGAGAGGAAGGAAGGAAGGGAAGAAAAGAAGGAAGGGAGGAAAGGAAAGAGAGGAAGGAAGGAAGGAAAGGAAAGAGAGGAAGGAAGGAAGGGAGGAAAUGAAUAUAUGAAAGAAAAGAAAGAAAGAGUGCGAUAUAUUAGAGAAAGGAAGUGACGUUAUCAUGAAAAUUACAUUAUGAUUACAUUACUUCAAAGGCUUCACACACACACACACACACACACACACACACACACACACACACACACACACACACACACACACACAAACACACACACAGUGGCUUGAUAAUAAGGAACCUACUAGUCUGGAAGUAAAAAAAAAAAAAAAAAAAAAAAA
Molecule: long non-coding RNA, 1025 nt
Organism: Eriocheir sinensis (Chinese mitten crab)
Lineage: Eukaryota; Metazoa; Arthropoda; Malacostraca; Decapoda; Varunidae
Exons: 2
Source: RefSeq, a predicted model, not a curated record